CCAGAGAGAGUAAACAAUUUACAUUCUGCCUCCCUAAACAGAGGGUAAAUAGUUAUGCCAAAGUACUUAGGGGGGACUGAUAAAAGAAAUCUAACAGUUACUGUUUUGUUAUAACUCUGGAGAGUCCAUAAAAAGGACUGACAAGGAAAAUCAGAAGAUCUUAAGGCAGGUCAGUGGCUUUUUCUCCUUAUAUAAUUCCUCCAAAAUUUGGCAAUGUUAAAUAAAUCAUGGCAAUACACUUCUUUGCAUAAAUUCAAUAAGACCGGUUUCCAAUAGUGGUUUUGUUAACUGGAAACUUUGACUAGAGUAUCAUGUUUUAAGGAGCCCUGUUUGAGUUCUGAAAACUUGAAGCCAAUAAGAGUGCCAUGGGAAAAGCCUGGUAUCCUGCUUGGUAGCCCUGAAAAUAGCUGGCGCUGGAGCGUCAGGCCCAUGCCCUACCAACACUGGCGGUUGGUCAGUGUAGAAGUGGAGCAUGGAACUCCCACGCACUCUGGGCCACGACGAGUAGGAGGGCUACUGAGAUGGGCCUUAAAGCAAGGACAAUGGGCAGCAG
This is a long non-coding RNA of Myotis davidii, 553 nucleotides long. RefSeq lists it as uncharacterized. The transcript has 3 exons. The record is from RefSeq and is a predicted model, not a curated record. Lineage: Eukaryota; Metazoa; Chordata; Mammalia; Chiroptera; Vespertilionidae.